UAGAUCAAGUGAGCGAAAAAGCAAGGGAGUUGGAAAGGUUUUCCAUUAACGGUGGUAUCAAGUCAGCAACUAUCGAAUUUGAAUUCAAGUAUGCUUAUGGUUUUCUUUCAGAUUGUCAGUUUGCUCCACGAACAACUCCUGGCCCUCAAUUCAGUGAUGACGAUUUGAUUCUUCAUCAGUUUAUCAUUUGGAGAUAAACAAAACUGAAUUGGAUAAACAAUCUGUGUUCAACAUAACAUAUCCCUACUGCUUUAACUUUUCAAUCUUCAGGUGAGAGGAGCUACUUUGCUAAUCAAAUCAAAGCCAUCAAUAGGUUGAAGGCCAAACUUUAUAGUCGUACCAAACUAGCAAGGAGUUCCAGGCGUCGGUAGAAUCAAAGCAAACACCAGCAUGGAAGUCUGGCAGGAGACUCAAAGGUACAUGUUUCACCCGGCAAGUUAGCACGAGAUGUAAAAACAGGCCUGAAUUGCAAUUAUGUAACGUCUAAACCUGAUUUGUUACAAUUGUGUAACAUCUACACCGGGUUCAGAUGUUACAUUUACUGUCUAAACUCGCAUUGCUUGCUUGUACUCCCUACAAUCAAAACAUAAUUUUCUGAAAAUAUAAACCCGAGCUACACUUCCCACCUUUCUGUUUAUGAACACAAAUGACCAUCAGGUUGAUGGCGGAUGGCAUAGCUGUCAUUUCUGUUAAAUAUAAUGUCCUUUUGCCAAUAUAGACCAACUUUCUCAA
Long non-coding RNA from Hibiscus syriacus, 732 nucleotides. RefSeq lists it as uncharacterized. The record is from RefSeq and is a predicted model, not a curated record. Lineage: Eukaryota; Viridiplantae; Streptophyta; Magnoliopsida; Malvales; Malvaceae. The transcript is spliced from 2 exons.